Molecule: long non-coding RNA, 655 nt
Filed under: Brassica rapa (field mustard)
Lineage: Eukaryota; Viridiplantae; Streptophyta; Magnoliopsida; Brassicales; Brassicaceae
Description: long non-coding RNA (BRAP_LNC006535)
Source: RNAcentral
GCAGAUAGAAGAAAAAAAAUGAAAAACUUAGUAGCCACCCUUGAGAUCGUUGACAACAUCGUAAGGGAUGGGAGUGACAGUCUCCAAUGUCAUACCCUCGACCAUGAAACCAGGCUUGGGACCUUUAGACUGUCUCUUGGUGCUGAUUGUCUCCCCUCUGGCUUUGGCUGCAGCCUUGAGCACAUCGUUAUUCUUCUUCCUUAGUUUAAACUCCUCAGCACACCUUGACUGCUGCACGUGCUCCACACGCACAUGCAACCUCUUCCUAAUGAUUCUGUUACCAAUCUAAACCACGACACAACCACAAGAGAUAAGUUAUCACCCAUGAUCCAACACAAAACUAUCUAUUUUAAUAUUCUAAGUCGACAGCUAAAACAAAAAUAAUCACAAUCAGUUGUAACAUUCAUUCAACACUCAUGAAUAUCAAUGCAAACAGAAUACAGAUCAUACCUGCUUGUUGACUUCGACACCAACAGCUCGCUUAGUAACGUUCCAGACACGACCAGUACGACCAUGGUAGAACUUGUGAGGCAUACCCUUGUGGAUGGCUCCAUUUACCUUCACAUCCACGUAAUCACCGACUUUGAAGGUCCUGAGGUAGGUAGAGAGUGGGAUAACACCCUUCUUCCUGAACCCUCUCGCGAACAGAUCCCUG